CUUGGUCAUUUAGAGGAAGUAAAAGUCGUAACAAGGUAUCCGUAGGUGAACUGCGGAUGGAUCAUUACCAAAAGAGACGGCAACUGUCUGGUGUCGGGCUUUCUAUCUCCCGUCAAAAGGAGAAGCGCCCCAUGCCUUGCUCUUGCCUGUCCACCCCACACUUUGUGCACCUAAAACCUGUCUCUGGCAGGCGGCCUCGUUUCUCUCUCUUUUCCGAAAGGAAAGGGGAGUUUCAGGGCCAGGCUCUCGGGGGGGAGGCCUUGGUCUCCCCUAACUGUUUUGAGCCAACCUGUCAGAGGGCCUUUCGGAGCCCGAAACCAAUUUUCAACACUUGCUUGAACCAUUUACCUGUCUGAAACUUGUAAAAUCAUUUUUAACAAAUGAAUAAACAACUUUUGACAACGGAUCUCUUGGCUCUCGCAACGAUGAAGAACGCAGCGAAAUGCGAUACGUAAUGUGAAUUGCAGAAUUCCGUGAAUCAUCGAAUCUUUGAACGCAAAUUGCGACCUUCUGGUACUCCAGGAGGUAUGCCUGUUUGAGAAUCGUGACCCCCUCACCUCUCUUUUAACGAGAGUGGUGGACUUGAGCUUUCCCAACGGCUUUGAUUCCGCUGCCAAGGCGAAUUCUGGAGCUUGAAUGGGUGGCUUUAAAUUCAGGUGGGCCUUGAAGACGGUUGAAACUCUCUCCGUUUUUGGUGAAAAGGCGUGAUAAAACGUUCACUUCCGGGUGAGCAAUUAUAUCCUCGCUGCAAGUAACCAAGACGGUAAACUUCUCCCAGUUUUCAAAUUGGAAAAGGUCUGCACGAUAAAGCAGGAAAUGAAGUGAGCCUGUAAAACGGCUUUCUUUGUGUACUGAAUCUCAAAUCAGGCAAGACUACCCGCUGAACUUAAGCAUAUCAAUAAGCGGAGGA
RNAcentral lists this ribosomal RNA (910 nucleotides) under uncultured Monoblepharella. RNAcentral describes it as "eukaryotic LSU rRNA". The stretch from base 391 to 545 matches the Rfam family "5.8S ribosomal RNA". The record is from RNAcentral. Lineage: Eukaryota; Fungi; Monoblepharomycota; Monoblepharidomycetes; Monoblepharidales; Monoblepharidaceae.